UACGUAGGCAGCAAGCGUUGUUCGGAGUUACUGGGCGUAAAGAGUGUGUAGGCGGUUCUCCAAGUCUGGUGUGAAAUCUCCCGGCUCAACUGGGAGGGUGCAUUGGAAACUGGAGGGCUCGAGUAUGGGAGAGGAAAGCGGAAUUCCUGGUGUAGCGGUGAAAUGCGUAGAUAUCAGGAGGAACACCUGUGGUGUAGACGGCUUUCUGGACCAUCACUGACGCUGAGACACGAAAGCGUGGGGAGCAAACAGG
RNAcentral lists this ribosomal RNA (253 nucleotides) under uncultured bacterium. RNAcentral's name for it is "partial 16S ribosomal RNA". It matches the Rfam family "Bacterial small subunit ribosomal RNA", at positions 524 to 776 of the family's 1533-position model. RNAcentral also lists the same sequence under 1 other name. The record is from RNAcentral.